Molecule: ribosomal RNA, 301 nt
Filed under: uncultured bacterium
Lineage: Bacteria
Description: partial 16S ribosomal RNA
Rfam family: Bacterial small subunit ribosomal RNA
Source: RNAcentral
CAGUCGCCACGGGAAUACGUAGGGUGCAAGCGUUAAUCGGAAUUACUGGGCGUAAAGCGUGCGCAGGCGGUUUUGUAAGACAGAGGUGAAAUCCCCGGGCUCAACCUGGGAACUGCCUUUGUGACUGCAAGGCUAGAGUACGGCAGAGGGGGAUGGAAUUCCGCGUGUAGCAGUGAAAUGCGUAGAUAUGCGGAGGAACACCGAUGGCGAAGGCAAUCCCCUGGGCCUGUACUGACGCUCAUGCACGAAAGCGUGGGGAGCAAACAGGAUUAGAUACCCCGGUAGUCCCUGUCUCUUAUAC